GCGGGGAUGUCUGAGCUGGUCAAAAGAACUGGGCUCAGGACCCAGUGGCGCAGAUAUUUAAAAUAGCGCAAGCCUGCGUGGGUUCGAGAGAUACUAUCCGAAAAUCCCACUCCCCGCACCA
This 121-nucleotide transfer RNA is filed under the name Promethearchaeota archaeon. RNAcentral's name for it is "Candidatus Lokiarchaeota archaeon (microbial mat metagenome) tRNA-Leu". It matches the Rfam family "tRNA". From Rfam's summary of the family: Transfer RNA (tRNA) molecules are approximately 80 nucleotides in length. Their secondary structure includes four short double-helical elements and three loops (D, anti-codon, and T loops). Further hydrogen bonds mediate the characteristic L-shaped molecular structure. tRNAs have two regions of fundamental functional importance: the anti-codon, which is responsible for specific mRNA codon recognition, and the 3' end, to which the tRNAs corresponding amino acid is attached (by aminoacyl-tRNA synthetases). tRNAs cope with the degeneracy of the genetic code in two manners: having more than one tRNA (with a specific anti-codon) for a particular amino acid; and 'wobble' base-pairing, i.e. permitting non-standard base-pairing at the 3rd anti-codon position. Lineage: Archaea; Promethearchaeati; Promethearchaeota. The record is from RNAcentral.